UGGAGUUCAGGUAUUAAUCUUUCUGUUGGGU
Molecule: non-coding RNA, 31 nt
Filed under: Mus musculus (house mouse)
Lineage: Eukaryota; Metazoa; Chordata; Mammalia; Rodentia; Muridae
Source: RNAcentral